Molecule: ribosomal RNA, 307 nt
Filed under: uncultured eukaryote
Lineage: Eukaryota
Description: partial 18S ribosomal RNA
Rfam family: Eukaryotic small subunit ribosomal RNA
Source: RNAcentral
CCCUUAGACGUUCUGGGCCGCACGCGCGCUACACUGACAAAGGCAACGAGCUACUCUUCACCGAAAGGUGUGGGUAAUCUUUUGAAACUUUGUCGUGCUGGGGAUAGAUCCUUGCAAUUUUUGAUCUUAAACGAGGAAUUCCUAGUAAGCGCAAGUCAUCAACUUGCGUUGAUUACGUCCCUGCCCUUUGUACACACCGCCCGUCGCUACUACCGAUUGAAUGGUUUAGUGAUGCCUUCGGAUCCGCGACUCGUUUGUGGAGAAGUUGGACAAACUCAGUCAUUUAGAGGAAGUAAAAGUCGUAACA